UAUGGCGCCUUGCAGCUAUGUAUUACCCGAAGAGUCGAUGUAUACAGAUGGUAUUCGUCAGUGAAAAUUUGCCAAUUUUGAAUACAAUGUCAUACUAUGCAGUGUGAACUGUGUUGACGUGAGUGUUUCAAAGACUUAGUUGUAUAGCAGAAAACAUGUGG
Myzus persicae (green peach aphid) is the source of this 161-nucleotide long non-coding RNA. RefSeq lists it as uncharacterized. Lineage: Eukaryota; Metazoa; Arthropoda; Insecta; Hemiptera; Aphididae. The transcript has 2 exons. The record is from RefSeq and is a predicted model, not a curated record.